AGGACGAACGCUGGCGGCGUGCUUAACACAUGCAAGUCGAGCGGUAAGGCCUUUCGGGGUACACGAGCGGCGAACGGGUGAGUAACACGUGGGUGAUCUGCCCUGCACUUCGGGAUAAGCCUGGGAAACUGGGUCUAAUACCGGAUAUGACCUCCUAUCGCAUGGUGGGUGGUGGAAAGAUUUAUCGGUGCAGGAUGGGCCCGCGGCCUAUCAGCUUGUUGGUGGGAAUGGCCUACAAGGCGACGACGGGUAGCCGACCUGAGGGGUGACCGGCCACGACGUGGACUGAGACACCGGCCAGACUCCUACGGGAGCAGCAGUGGGAAUAGUGCACAAGUGGGACGAAAGCCUGAUGAGAGCGACGUCCGCGUGGAGGAU
Molecule: ribosomal RNA, 378 nt
Filed under: uncultured soil bacterium
Lineage: Bacteria
Description: bacterial SSU rRNA
Rfam family: Bacterial small subunit ribosomal RNA
Source: RNAcentral